GACGAACGCUGGCGGCGUGCCUAACACAUGCAAGUCAACUUGACUGAAGGAGCAAUCUGACAGUAGAGUGGCGCAAGGGUGCGUAACGCGUAAGUAACUUGCCCCAAGGUAAGGAAUAACGUCGAGAAAUCGGCGCUAAUACCUCAUAAUGCAGCGGAUCCGCAUGGAUAUGUUGUUAAAGGUUUACCGCCUUGGGAUAGGCUUGCGUCUGAUUAGCUAGUUGGUGUGGUAACGGCACACCAAGGCUACGAUCAGUAACUGGUCUGAGAGGAUGAUCAGUCACACUGGAACUGAGACACGGUCCAGACUCCUACGGGAGGCAGCAGUGAGGAAUAUUGGGCAAUGCUCGAAAGAGUGACCCAGCAACGCCGCGUGGAGGAUGAAGGUAUUCUAUAUCGUAAACUCCUGUGAGAGCAGACGAAAGACAGAUUAUUAAUCUGGAUGACUGUAUGC
This 453-nucleotide ribosomal RNA is filed under the name uncultured bacterium. RNAcentral describes it as "bacterial SSU rRNA". It matches the Rfam family "Bacterial small subunit ribosomal RNA", at positions 28 to 480 of the family's 1533-position model. The record is from RNAcentral.